RNAcentral lists this ribosomal RNA (1388 nucleotides) under Mycoplasma sp. Its description in RNAcentral is "partial 16S ribosomal RNA". It matches the Rfam family "Bacterial small subunit ribosomal RNA". The record is from RNAcentral. Lineage: Bacteria; Bacillati; Mycoplasmatota; Mollicutes; Mycoplasmatales; Mycoplasmataceae.
UGCAUGUCGAGCGGGGUUUCUUCGGAAGCCUAGCGGCGAAUGGGUGAGUAACACGUGCUUAAUCUACCCUUUAGAUUGGAAUACCUAAUGGAAACAUUGGCUAAUGCCGGAUACGCAUGGAACCGCAUGGUUCCGUUGUGAAAGGAGCUUUACAGCUCCGCUAAAGGAUGAGGGUGCGGAACAUUAGUUAGUUGGUAGGGUAAUGGCUUACCAAGACUAUGAUGUUUAGCCGGGUCGAGAGACUGAACGGCCACAUUGGGACUGAGAUACGGCCCAAACUCCUACGGGAGGCAGCAGUAGGGAAUAUUCCACAAUGAGCGAAAGCUUGAUGGAGCGACACAGCGUGCACGAUGAAGGUCUUCGGAUUGUAAAGUGCUGUUAUAGGGAAAGAACACUUGGUUGAGGAAAUGCUUCCAAGCUGACGGUACCCUGUCAGAAAGCGAUGGCUAACUAUGUGCCAGCAGCCGCGGUAAUACAUAGGUCGCAAGCGUUAUCCGGAAUUAUUGGGCGUAAAGCGUUCGUAGGCUGUUUAUUAAGUCUGGAGUCAAAUCCCGGGGCUCAACCCCGGCUCGCUUUGGAUACUGGUAAACUAGAGUUAGAUAGAGGUAAGCGGAAUUCCAUGUGAAGCGGUGAAAUGCGUAGAUAUAUGGAAGAACACCAAAGGCGAAGGCAGCUUACUGGGUCUAUACUGACGCUGAGGGACGAAAGCGUGGGGAGCAAACAGGAUUAGAUACCCUGGUAGUCCACGCUGUAAACGAUGAUCAUUAGUCGGUGGAGGAUUCACUGACGCAGCUAACGCAUUAAAUGAUCCGCCUGAGUAGUAUGCUCGCAAGAGUGAAACUUAAAGGAAUUGACGGGGACCCGCACAAGCGGUGGAGCAUGUGGUUUAAUUUGAAGAUACGCGGAGAACCUUACCCACUCUUGACAUCCUUCGCAAAGCUAUAGAGAUAUAGUGGAGGUUAACGGAGUGACAGAUGGUGCAUGGUUGUCGUCAGCUCGUGUCGUGAGAUGUUUGGUCAAGUCCUGCAACGAGCGCAACCCCUAUCUUUAGUUACUAACGAGUCAUGUCGAGGACUCUAGAGAUACUGCCUGGGUAACCGGGAGGAAGGUGGGGAUGACGUCAAAUCAUCAUGCCUCUUACGAGUGGGGCAACACACGUGCUACAAUGGUCGGUACAAAGAGAAGCAAUAUGGCGACAUGGAGCAAAUCUCAAAAAGCCGAUCUCAGUUCGGAUUGGAGUCUGCAAUUCGACUCCAUGAAGUCGGAAUCGCUAGUAAUCGCAGAUCAGCUACGCUGCGGUGAAUACGUUCUCGGGUCUUGUACACACCGCCCGUCACACCAUGGGAGCUGGUAAUACCCAAAGUCGGUUUGCUAACCUCGGAGGCGAC